Molecule: ribosomal RNA, 912 nt
Filed under: uncultured bacterium
Lineage: Bacteria
Description: bacterial SSU rRNA
Rfam family: Bacterial small subunit ribosomal RNA
Source: RNAcentral
AGAGUUUGAUCAUGGCUCAGGACGAACGCUGGCGGCGUGCCUAACACAUGCAAGUCGAGCGGGGAUGAGCUGGUCAGCUUGCUGAUUGGCUUAUCCUAGCGGCGGACGGGUGAGUAACGCGUGAGCAACCAACCUUGUACUGGGGGAUAACAGCUGGAAACAGCUGCUAAUACCGCAUAAGACUACGGCACCGCAUGGUGCUGUAGUAAAAGGUGCCGGAAGGCGCCGGUACAAGACGGGCUCGCGUCCCAUUAGCUAGUUGGUGGGGUAACGGCCUACCAAGGCGACGAUGGGUAGCCGGCCUGAGAGGGUGUACGGCCACACUGGGACUGAGACACGGCCCAGACUCCUACGGGAGGCAGCAGUGGGGGAUAUUGCGCAAUGGGGGAAACCCUGACGCAGCGACGCCGCGUGAGCGAGGAAGGCCUUCGGGUCGUAAAGCUCUGUCCCUGGGGACGAAUUAAGUGACGGUACCUGGGGAGGAAGCCCCGGCUAACUACGUGCCAGCAGCCGCGGUAAUACGUAGGGGGCGAGCGUUGUCCGGAGUUACUGGGCGUAAAGGGUGCGUAGGCGGCCCAUUAAGUCAGGUGUGAAAAACCCUGGCUCAACCGGGGUAUUGCACUUGAAACUGGUGGGCUUGAGUGCAGGAGAGGGAAGCGGAAUUCCUGGUGUAGCGGUGAAAUGCGUAGAUAUCAGGAGGAACACCAGUGGCGAAGGCGGCUUCCUGGCCUGUAACUGACGCUGAGGCACGAGAGCGUGGGGAGCAACAGGAUUAGAUACCCUGGUAGUCCACGCUGUAAACGAUGGAUACUAGGUGUAGGGGGCGAUUUAGCCUUCUGUGCCGAAGUUAACGCAAUAAGUAUCCCGCCUGGGGAGUACGGCCGCAAGGUUGAAACUCAAAUGAAUUGACGG